AUUGAACGCUGGCGGCAGGCCUAACACAUGCAAGUCGAGCGGUUGAAGGGAGCUUGCUCCUGGAUUCAGCGGCGGACGGGUGAGUAAUGCCUAGGAAUCUGCCUGGUAGUGGGGGAUAACGUCCGGAAACGGGCGCUAAUACCGCAUACGUCCUGAGGGAGAAAGUGGGGGAUCUUCGGACCUCGCGCUAUCAGAUGAGCCUAGGUCGGAUUAGCUAGUUGGUGGGGUAAAGGCCUACCAAGGCGACGAUCCGAAACUGGUCUGAGAGGAUGAUCAGUCACACUGGAACAGAGACACGGUCCCGACUCCUACAGGAGGCAGCAGUGGGGAAUAUUGCACAAUGGGGGAAAGCCUGAUCCAGCCAUGCCGCGUGUGUGAAGAAGGUCUUCGGAUUGUAAAGCACUUUAAGUUGGGAGGAAGGGCAGUAAGUUAAUACCUUGCUGUUUUGACGUUACCAACAGAAUAAGCACCGGCUAACUUCGUG
This 484-nucleotide ribosomal RNA is filed under the name uncultured bacterium. RNAcentral describes it as "partial 16S ribosomal RNA". It matches the Rfam family "Bacterial small subunit ribosomal RNA", at positions 30 to 507 of the family's 1533-position model. The record is from RNAcentral.